This is a long non-coding RNA of Capsicum annuum, 839 nucleotides long. RefSeq lists it as uncharacterized. The transcript has 3 exons. Lineage: Eukaryota; Viridiplantae; Streptophyta; Magnoliopsida; Solanales; Solanaceae. The record is from RefSeq and is a predicted model, not a curated record.
AACACUUGAGGCCCUUGCUGCUUGUUGACCAUUUUGGAGCUUGUUAAUUACAGGGCCUUCAAAUAUUGUAUCAAUUGAGUCUGAAGAGCAAUUCAAUACUUCACUUCGCAAAGUACAAGAUGAAUCUUUGCCUGCAAUAUUCUACUUCACUGCAGUCUGGUGUGGGCCCUGUAGGCUGUUAUCUCCUGUAAUUGGCCAAUUGAGUGAGAAAUAUCCUCAUGUGACAACAUAUAAAAUUGACAUUGACAAGGUAAAAAAGCAUCUUCCUGGUGUACUGUCUCUUAGAUUCCUUUGCCCGGCACACAUGUUUCGGCCUUGUGUGUCCAUAACUCAAAAUAAUUCCCAGUCCUAAGCAUUAGCAGUCACUGGGUUCGGGUGCAUACAAAUGGCGGGUUUGACGGACGAAUUCAUUCCCAUGUAGAUAAAUACUUUCCUUUCUAUCUGCAGACUGCCUAGAGACCUCUUUGAAUAAUAGAAAAGUCAGGAACCUUAUUAAUGCUUAAUCGAACCCACUAUUCUGGGGUGCUGAUGUGUGCCAAUUCUCUCUCUUUCUUUUUUCUUGGACAAAUUGAAAUUUAUAUUUCUAACAAUAAACCUAAUUGGUGGUCAUAUACCAAAAGAAGCUACAUCAGACCAUUAAGAUGUAUCUAUAUACUGAAGUACAAUAUCAAACCAUCUAGAAAGUAGUGUAAUCCGUUGUUUGCCAGAUAACAACACACAAAAGUGACUUGAGACUCCAGAUUGUUGAUUACUGUGAUUGUCCAGAUCAUCAGCACUGUUUCAAUUGCUAUCAACAGCAAAAUCUCUAACCAAAAGCAUACUCAUUUGCCUCUGCAUCC